UACGUAGGGUGCAAGCGUUGUCCGGAAUUAUUGGGCGUAAAGGGCUUGUAGGCGGUCCAUCGCGUCGGGAGUGAAAAGCUGGGGCUUAACCCCAGUCCUGCUUCCGAUACAGGUGGACUAGAGGUAGGUAGGGGAGAUCGGAAUUCCUGGUGUAGCGGUGAAAUGCGCAGAUAUCAGGAGGAACACCGGUGGCGAAGGCGGAUCUCUGGGCCUUACCUGACGCUGAGGAGCGAAAGCAUGGGGAGCAAACAGG
RNAcentral lists this ribosomal RNA (253 nucleotides) under uncultured bacterium. RNAcentral's name for it is "partial 16S ribosomal RNA". It matches the Rfam family "Bacterial small subunit ribosomal RNA", at positions 524 to 776 of the family's 1533-position model. The record is from RNAcentral.